This 91-nucleotide transfer RNA is filed under the name Peptostreptococcus anaerobius. RNAcentral's name for it is "tRNA-Ser(gga)". It matches the Rfam family "tRNA". Rfam says of the family: Transfer RNA (tRNA) molecules are approximately 80 nucleotides in length. The record is from RNAcentral. RNAcentral also lists the same sequence under 2 other names. Lineage: Bacteria; Bacillati; Bacillota; Clostridia; Peptostreptococcales; Peptostreptococcaceae.
GGAGAGGUGUCCGAGUUGGCUUAAGGGGCUCGCCUGGAAAGCGGGUGUGCGGGAAACUGCACCGAGGGUUCGAAUCCCUCUCUCUCCGCCA